GCGGGUGUAGUUCAAUGGUAGAACACCAGCUUCCCAAGCUGGCAGCGUGGGUUCGAUUCCCAUCACCCGCUCCA
This 74-nucleotide transfer RNA is filed under the name Caldicellulosiruptor bescii. Its description in RNAcentral is "tRNA_Gly_CCC". It matches the Rfam family "tRNA". Rfam says of the family: Transfer RNA (tRNA) molecules are approximately 80 nucleotides in length. The record is from RNAcentral. Lineage: Bacteria; Bacillati; Bacillota; Caldicellulosiruptorales; Caldicellulosiruptoraceae. RNAcentral also lists the same sequence under 14 other names.